GGUGACAGCCCCGUACACAAAAAUGCACAUAUUGUGAGCUCGAUGAGUAGGGCGGGACACGUGGUAUCCUGUCUGAAUAUGGGGGGCCCAUCCUCCAAGGCUAAAUACUCCUGACUGACCGAUAGUGAACCAGUACCGUGAGGGAAAGGCGAAAAGAACCCCGGCGAGGGGAGUGAAAAAGAACCUGAAACCGUGUACGUACAAGCAGUGGGAGCACGCUUAGGCGUGUGACUGCGUACCUUUUGUAUAAUGGGUCAGCGACUUAUAUUCUGUAGCAAGGUUAACCGAAUAGGGGAGCCGAAGGGAAACCGAGUCUUAACUGGGCGUUAAGUUGCAGGGUAUAGACCCGAAACCCGGUGAUCUAGCCAUGGGCAGGUUGAAGGUUGGGUAACACUAACUGGAGGACCGAACCGACUAAUGUUGAAAAAUUAGCGGAUGACUUGUGGCUGGGGGUGAAAGGCCAAUCAAACCGGGAGAUAGCUGGUUCUCCCCGAAAGCUAUUUAGGUAGCGCCUCGUGAAUUCAUCUCCGGGGGUAGAGCACUGUUUCGGCAAGGGGGUCAUCCCGACUUACCAACCCGAUGCAAACUGCGAAUACCGGAGAAUGUUAUCACGGGAGACACACGGCGGGUGCUAACGUCCGUCGUGAAGAGGGAAACAACCCAGACCGCCAGCUAAGGUCCCAAAGUCAUGGUUAAGUGGGAAACGAUGUGGGAAGGCCCAGACAGCCAGGAUGUUGGCUUAGAAGCAGCCAUCAUUUAAAGAAAGCGUAAUAGCUCACUGGUCGAGUCGGCCUGCGCGGAAGAUGUAACGGGGCUAAACCAUGCACCGAAGCUGCGGCAGCGACGCUUAUGCGUUGUUGGGUAGGGGAGCGUUCUGUAAGCCUGCGAAGGUGUGCUGUGAGGCAUGCUGGAGGUAUCAGAAGUGCGAAUGCUGACAUAAGUAACGAUAAAGCGGGUGAAAAGCCCGCUCGCCGGAAGACCAAGGGUUCCUGUCCAACGUUAAUCGGGGCAGGGUGAGUCGACCCCUAAGGCGAGGCCGAAAGGCGUAGUCGAUGGGAAACAGGUUAAUAUUCCUGUACUUGGUGUUACUGCGAAGGGGGGACGGAGAAGGCUAUGUUGGCCGGGCGACGGUUGUCCCGGUUUAAGCGUGUAGGCUGGUUUUCCAGGCAAAUCCGGAAAAUCAAGGCUGAGGCGUGAUGACGAGGCACUACGGUGCUGAAGCAACAAAUGCCCUGCUUCCAGGAAAAGCCUCUAAGCAUCAGGUAACAUCAAAUCGUACCCCAAACCGACACAGGUGGUCAGGUAGAGAAUACCAAGGCGCUUGAGAGAACUCGGGUGAAGGAACUAGGCAAAAUGGUGCCGUAACUUCGGGAGAAGGCACGCUGAUAUGUAGGUGAAGUCCCUUGCGGAUGGAGCUGAAAUCAGUCGAAGAUACCAGCUGGCUGCAACUGUUUAUUAAAAACACAGCACUGUGCAAACACGAAAGUGGACGUAUACGGUGUGACGCCUGCCCGGUGCCGGAAGGUUAAUUGAUGGGGUCAGCGCAAGCGAAGCUCUUGAUCGAAGCCCCGGUAAACGGCGGCCGUAACUAUAACGGUCCUAAGGUAGCGAAAUUCCUUGUCGGGUAAGUUCCGACCUGCACGAAUGGCGUAAUGAUGGCCAGGCUGUCUCCACCCGAGACUCAGUGAAAUUGAACUCGCUGUGAAGAUGCAGUGUACCCGCGGCAAGACGGAAAGACCCCGUGAACCUUUACUAUAGCUUGACACUGAACAUUGAGCCUUGAUGUGUAGGAUAGGUGGGAGGCUUUGAAGUGUGGACGCCAGUCUGCAUGGAGCCGGCCUUGAAAUACCACCCUUUAAUGUUUGAUGUUCUAACGUGGACCCGUGAUCCGGGUUGCGGACAGUGUCUGGUGGGUAGUUUGACUGGGGCGGUCUCCUCCUAAAGAGUAACGGAGGAGCACGAAGGUUGGCUAAUCCUGGUCGGACAUCAGGAGGUUAGUGCAAUGGCAUAAGCCAGCUUGACUGCGAGCGUGACGGCGCGAGCAGGUGCGAAAGCAGGUCAUAGUGAUCCGGUGGUUCUGAAUGGAAGGGCCAUCGCUCAACGGAUAAAAGGUACUCCGGGGAUAACAGGCUGAUACCGCCCAAGAGUUCAUAUCGACGGCGGUGUUUGGCACCUCGAUGUCGGCUCAUCACAUCCUGGGGCUGAAGUAGGUCCCAAGGGUAUGGCUGUUCGCCAUUUAAAGUGGUACGCGAGCUGGGUUUAGAACGUCGUGAGACAGUUCGGUCCCUAUCUGCCGUGGGCGCUGGAGAACUGAGGGGGGCUGCUCCUAGUACGAGAGGACCGGAGUGGACGCAUCACUGGUGUUCGGGUUGUCAUGCCAAUGGCACUGCCCGGUAGCUAAAUGCGGAAGAGAUAAGUGCUGAAAGCAUCUAAGCACGAAACUUGCCCCGAGAUGAGUUCUCCCUGACCCUUUAAGGGUCCUGAAGGAACGUUGAAGACGACGACGUUGAUAGGCCGGGUGUGUAAGCGCAGCGAUGCGUUGAGCUAACCGGUACUAAUGAACCGUGAGGCUUAACCUU
RNAcentral lists this ribosomal RNA (2579 nucleotides) under Shigella sonnei. RNAcentral describes it as "partial 23S ribosomal RNA". It matches the Rfam family "Bacterial large subunit ribosomal RNA", at positions 363 to 2925 of the family's 2925-position model. Lineage: Bacteria; Pseudomonadati; Pseudomonadota; Gammaproteobacteria; Enterobacterales; Enterobacteriaceae. The record is from RNAcentral.